CCAGCUUCUAUGGUUGCUCUCUCCAUUGUAUAAUAUAUUGCUCAGUGAGCUUCAUGUGCACAAAACUUUGUAAAUAUGGCGUCCAUUCCAUAACAGAAUUGAUUCAAAAGCAGACUGUGUCAUUACCUUCAUACCAAUUAAUUGGGACAAUAAUCACCGGAGUCUUGGGCUAGGUAGUGGACUAACUGGACUUUACUUCAUGUACCAUAUUUCUGUAUGACCCUAUAGCUAUGGCGAUGUUAAGAGAAGAGAGAAGCUUCCACAAAAAAAUUAGAUUACUGAUAGCACACCUCCAAGCAAUAUGUCCAAAAACGAGUCCACCAGAUGUGAAAUAUUUUGAUAAUUCCACAAAAUUUGAACCAAGACAACUUGAUGGAAGUUCAUGUGGGGUUUUUGUAUCCAUAGUAGCUGAUUAUAUGGUCAAUGGUUUGGAUGUGAACUUUACACAGGUAAUCAUAUCAAAGUACAAUUUCUAGUAACUACAUCAUUUAUUAAACCACAGAAAAAAUC
Molecule: unclassified non-coding RNA, 510 nt
Filed under: Dendronephthya gigantea
Lineage: Eukaryota; Metazoa; Cnidaria; Anthozoa; Malacalcyonacea; Nephtheidae
Description: uncharacterized LOC114535237, transcript variant X1
Source: RNAcentral